GGCCGCGCUCAGCACCUCUGGAUCAUCCUCUAGUUGUCCCGUGAGCGCUCCAGAGGGAGUGUCAAAACCUGCCCACUCGCUUUGACCUUGGGGGCGGCAAGCAGUUAGCAUAUUCUUGACCCCGUGCUCCGUGAAGCAAUGGCGGCCACCACACGAACGAGGUAGCUGCAGGAGAGAGAUGCGGGGAGUGAUGCCUGCUCCAGGUGUCCCCCACACCCUGACUGCCCCUCCAGGUGUUGAUCAGAGGCCAUUGUGAGCAACGAAGAAAAGCAAAUUGCAAUCAAUCAACUGCUGGUUUGCACCAUCAAAUGCAAUAAAGGUCCUAUGGUGAUCACCUC
Molecule: long non-coding RNA, 338 nt
Filed under: Fukomys damarensis (Damara mole-rat)
Lineage: Eukaryota; Metazoa; Chordata; Mammalia; Rodentia; Bathyergidae
Description: lncRNA (ENSFDAG00000021922.1)
Source: RNAcentral